RNAcentral lists this unclassified non-coding RNA (534 nucleotides) under Renibacterium salmoninarum. RNAcentral describes it as "16S-23S ribosomal RNA intergenic spacer". The record is from RNAcentral. Lineage: Bacteria; Bacillati; Actinomycetota; Actinomycetes; Micrococcales; Micrococcaceae.
UAAGGAGCACCAAACACUUGAUCAGUUUCCGCAUGGUUUCUGGUGUGAGUGUGAGGAGUUAAAUCCCAUUGCGAGAACAUUCGUUUCUCGGUGGGUGCUCAAGGGUGGAAUAUCAACAAAUUUAUGCUGAAGUGCUGGUUUUCUGGUGCGGAGGUGUUGUCGCUGGUUCUGUUCUCGGAUUGUUGGUUGAGUACGCUGUUUCCUUCGGGGAGUGGUUGGAAAGAUUCGAUGGUUUGGGAGGUUCUGGUGGGUACAAAACACACUGUUGGGUCCUGAGAUAACAGGCGCUCUGCUGAUUCUGGUACUGACUUUUGGUUGGUGUUGGAGGUCGGUGGGGUGUGUUUGUUGUUUCUGGUUUCCCUUCUUACUAAUCAAUCCUUUUCCGUUUGUUCGGUGGGUUGUGUGUGGGAGUGGGUGUUGUUGUUUGAGAACUGUAUAGUGGACGCGAGCAUCUUAAGAACAAAGCAAUUUGUUUAAGAGCAAUUUUUUCAUCACAUCUUUUGGUGUGGUGAGAGUUUUAGCUCUGGUUUUUGU